RNAcentral lists this ribosomal RNA (379 nucleotides) under uncultured bacterium. RNAcentral's name for it is "bacterial SSU rRNA". It matches the Rfam family "Bacterial small subunit ribosomal RNA", at positions 28 to 409 of the family's 1533-position model. The record is from RNAcentral.
GACGAACGCUGGCGGCGUGCUUAACACAUGCAAGUCGAGCGGUAAGGCCCUUUCGGGGGUACACGAGCGGCGAACGGGUGAGUAACACGUGGGUGACCUGCCCUCAGCUCUGGGAUAAGCCUGGGAAACUGGGUCUAAUACUGGAUAUGACUCCACGGUGCAUGUCGUGGGUGGAAAGCCUUGUGCGGCUGAGGAUGGGGCCCNCGGCCUAUCAGCUUGUUGGUGGGGUGANGGCCUACCAAGGCGACGACGGGUAGCCGGCCUGAGAGGCGACCGGCCACACUGGGACUGAGACACGGCCCAGACUCCUACGGGAGGCAGCAGUGGGGAAUCUUGCGCAAUGGGCGAAAGCCUGACGCAGCGACGCCGCGUGAGGGAU